CAGAUCCAGUAAGCUGUGGCAGAACUAUAGCAUGGAUUUUAGACAUCUAUCUCAAUUUGAAGAUGUCAAGUGGCUAAAUGAUUCACUCUCUCUUUAGAUGUCACUCCCUGGCAGGUGGAACCGGCAGCAAAGAGUCCUCUCUAAGCACUUCUUAAAUGCAGAAAUGCUUCAUUUUCCAAGGCAAUCAAGAUCAGCAGGUACUUAAUCUCUGUUUUAUCUGGAAAGAGACUAGCUCUUAGUUGGACUUCAACUAACUCUCAUCCAGCACCCAGAGUCAGCUUCAAAUAAAU
Molecule: long non-coding RNA, 290 nt
Organism: Athene cunicularia (burrowing owl)
Lineage: Eukaryota; Metazoa; Chordata; Aves; Strigiformes; Strigidae
Exons: 3
Source: RefSeq, a predicted model, not a curated record